RNAcentral lists this ribosomal RNA (2271 nucleotides) under Triticum aestivum (bread wheat). RNAcentral describes it as "partial small subunit ribosomal RNA". Lineage: Eukaryota; Viridiplantae; Streptophyta; Magnoliopsida; Poales; Poaceae. The record is from RNAcentral.
AUGAGGUUCAGCCGGAAGCUCAAAAAUACAGCAAAAGCUCUUCGAAGUUGGAGCGCCAAAUCUUAUGGAAACAUUAAGGACCAGAUUGUUUGGGCCAAAACAAUAAUUGGAUUCCUGGACCAAGCUGGGGAUUCUCGUUGUCUUAAUUUGGAGGAGACAUGGCUUCGUAGAGAGUUGAAGAAAAAGAUUCUUAGGCUAUGUUCGGUGGAGAGAACCAUGGCUCGACAACGAGCUAAACAAUUCUUUUCUUGUUUUACUGCCCAACGGCAAGGUGCCUCGGAGACCACGGAUUAUCGACCCAUAAGUCUAGUUCACAGCUUCACUAAGAUCUUCUCAAAAGUUCUUGCGAGGCACCUCGUUCCUGAGAAGGUCAAAUUGCUUGUGAGUGGAACUGCCAAAUUACUGAAGUCAAAAGGGUGCAACAGCUUCAUGCUAAAAUUGGACAUGGCUAGAGCAUUUGACUUAGUGGACUGGCCUUACGUCAUGGAUAUUUUGAGAGCCAAAGGAUUUGGGCCGAGGUGGAGGGCCUGGAUCGCCAUUAUUUUAUCUUCGGCUUCCUCGAGAAUUCUCCUUAAUGGAGCUCCGGCUACUCAUGUUGUCAAUUUAUUGAUGGCCAAAGAUGACAGCAUGAAUCUCUUACCUGCUUUCCCUCCUGACACGGUGUCUCAAAGGCUUUCGAUUUAUGCCGAUGUUGUUAUUGUUUUCCUUCGUGCUUCACCGGCCGAUGUUCAGGUGGUCUUCACUUUGUUGAAGGUGUUUAGAGGUGCCUUAGGGCUGAGCCGCAAUCUUAUCAAGAGCUCCAUAUCUCCAAUCAAUUGUGAUGAUUUCUUUGCAACUAUUUGCUGCAAUCUUGUUGGCUGCAAGCUCGCCCAUAUGUCAAUAACCUAUCUUGGCCUGCCAUUAAAUUGUCAGAAGGCAAGAAAUGAGGAUUUUCAUAGGCUUCUUGAUGUGCUAAGGGAGAGUCUGGCAUCUUGGAGGGUUGCUAUGCUAACUCAGAGUGGUCGUUUUGUGCUUAUUCGGCCAGUACUCACCUUAAUUGUCAUUUUUCAUCUCCUCUCACUUGAUACUCCUCCAUGGGUCCUGAAGGCAAUCGGCAAGAUACGUCGUGCUUUUCUUUGGAAGGGUGCUGAAGAAGUCGUUGGCAGUCAUUGUCCCGUUAAGUGGGAAAUGGUUUGCAGACCCAGAGAAGUCAUCGGUGGCCUUGGUGUGACUAGUUUGGUGGGCAUGAGCUUGGCCGUGAAAAUGAGGUGGGCUUGGACCGCCCGUGUGGAAAUUAACAAGCCAUGGAGAUAUUUGGGAGUCCUGCUUCCUAGCAUCAUAUUGGAGAAAUUUAAUGUUGCAGCCAUGGUGACUCUAGGAAAUGGUGAAAGCACAAUCUUUUGGUAUGAUGCUUGGUUAGACGGUGUUCAUAUUACCUCUAUUGCACCUGACAUAGUUGAAUCUAUCCCGAAGCACAUUAGAUCAAGGAGAGCGGUCGCUUCUACUAUGAUGGGAGGAUUUGGACUGCAGAUCAACGUGCGAAACAUGGGCUUCCACAUAAUGACUCAUGUGUUUUCUGCCACAACCAUUUUGAAGAUGUUGAUCACCUUCUUACUGGUUGUGCGGCCGUUAAUAUCCUUUGGAACAGAGUCUCAAACUAGCUCGGUCUUUUGGCGGUGGCUCCUUCAAUCGGCAGUACCUUCAUUGAAUGGUGGACCUUGGCAAGGGAGGCCACCUGAUGAUUCCGGCCGUCCGAUCUCGUGGUUUGCUUCUUCUUGGCCGUUCGAUCCAAUUUUGAGUCGAAGCUGGGGUAACUGUUCUGAGGGACGCUGCUCCGGUACAAAAGUCGGAAAUCUGGGGUUAAUUGGGCUUUCGACCGCACAAAGCCCAUGUACUGCUCGAUCUUUCUUCUCCCUUCCGUCACGUUCCACCGCUUGGUCUAUCUCAUGUCCCCUAUCUCGUAGCGCCCCCUCCGCUCCCCGACCUCUCUCCUUGGGCACUCCUGACACUGCCGCCGGCAACCCCUCCCUUCCGCCCGAAGUCUCCACGCUCGCGUCCAUAUCCAAUGGGGGCGGCGCCGUCGACGCUGGUGCUGGGCAACGCAGGCGCUGUAUCGCUGGGGGUGGUAGAGCAGAUGUUCGCCAACUCGAGGUCCACAUCACACCUCCCCCUGGGGCUGCUCUGAUCGCUUCCGUUUCUGCCAUAUCGUUGUUGGUUGGCUGCCUCCUCGGGCUCACCACUUGUAUCUGCGUCACCACGUUCAACCGUGGGGCGAGUGCUUUAGCUGAUUGA